Molecule: ribosomal RNA, 440 nt
Filed under: uncultured bacterium
Lineage: Bacteria
Description: partial 16S ribosomal RNA
Rfam family: Bacterial small subunit ribosomal RNA
Source: RNAcentral
CCUACGGGAGGCAGCAGUGGGGAAUAUUGCACAAUGGGGGAAACCCUGAUGCAGCGACGCCGCGUGAGUGAAGAAGUAAUUCGUUAUGGAAAGCUCUAUCAGCAGGGGAGAAAAUGACGGUACCUGAGUAAGAAGCCCCGGCUAACUACGUGCCAGCAGCCGAGGGAAUACGUAGGGGGCAAGCGUUAUCCGGAUUUACUGGGUGUAAAGGGAGCGUAGACGGCAUUGUAAGUCUGGAGUGAAAGGCGGGGGCUCAACCCCCGGAUUGCACUGGAAACUGUACGGCUGGAGUGCAGGAGAGGUAAGUGGAAUUCCUAGUGUAGCGGUGAAAUGCGUAGAUAUUAGGAGGAACACCGGUGGCGAAGGCGGCUUACUGGACUGUAACUGACGUUGAGGCUCGAAAGCGUGGGGAGCAAACAGGAUUAGAUACCCCAGUAGUC